RNAcentral lists this ribosomal RNA (32 nucleotides) under Inocybe cf. ambigua EL8105. RNAcentral's name for it is "partial 18S ribosomal RNA". Lineage: Eukaryota; Fungi; Basidiomycota; Agaricomycetes; Agaricales; Inocybaceae. The record is from RNAcentral.
UUAGGAGUAAGCUACAGUUCGAGUGACUCGAC